Long non-coding RNA from Aquila chrysaetos chrysaetos, 852 nucleotides. RefSeq lists it as uncharacterized. The transcript has 6 exons. NCBI's taxonomy places the organism in Eukaryota, Metazoa, Chordata, Aves, Accipitriformes, Accipitridae. The record is from RefSeq and is a predicted model, not a curated record.
UGAGGUAGAGGUCUCUUCUCAUGAACCUCAGCUCUGGGAAGCGGACGACAGCUUUAACUUCCAGGAACACCCUUUGCACCUUGGCCAUCCUGAGCAGAUGGAGCCUUUCCCCAGCUUCUAAGAAAGGGGAAGAGAGCUCCCCUGAAGAGACCUUUUCCCCAAGCAAGGACCAAAAGCAGGUGCAAGCAGGAAGCAUAGGGGAUCCCUAGAAUUAGACUGGCUUCUACUGCUGGUUUCAUACAGACCCGCAGGAUGGUGGUGCUCACAGUUACUGCGCAACUGUCCAGACUGAUGUAUUCUCAGUGUGCAGUGCAUUCUGCUGACUCAUGUAUGAGAUAUGCUUCUCAUGGUGUUGACCAGAUUUCUUGGAGGGUAUGACAGCUGCAAACAGUAUCAACAAUGUCUGGAAAAACUGACAAAUUUAAGAGAAAGGUGAUUAAUCAGUGGGAGUUUCAGGCAGCAACUGAGUGCAGGUAGAGGUCAGUAACUAUAAAAUCCAUCAGUUUGUGAAGGGCAGAGGUACUACAGGAUGACAAAAAGUCAUACAACUAUCUAGACAUGCUGAACAAUCUGGUUUAUGCAUCUAAGGAGUGGAAUAAUCCAAGAUACAGAAAGGAAGGACACACAGCGAACUGGAAAUCUGCCUGCCAGGUGAAGACUGGUGAGAUAUAUCUGGUGUCUUCCUGGAGAGUGAUGAGAGAAUUGAGGGGCGAAAUAGGCACCAACACCAGAGAUGAAGACAUGCAGAGACUUCUAGUGUUCGUACCCUGAGAGGUGGCAAAAGGAAGGUUUUCUGGAGGGAAGUGGAACCUGUGAUUUAUGCCAAUAAAACAUCAUUUUAGAUUCCUUGAA